GUGAUACGGCCUACCUGCAAACUGUAUUGAAUUAAAACUGCUUGAGAAAAAUUCUUUCAAUGCAUAUGCAACAUGUUUUAAAAGAUGUGAUGAUGGACUGGCACGCGGUUUUUUUUUUUUAAAUGUGUAGUCUCUGACUGCUCCCUUUUGUUUUCGAUGAUCGGAGUAGCGGAUUGUGGGGUUGGCAUUGCCUUUCUCCGACUUGCUAUGAGCUUAUCUACGAGAGUGAACCGGUAAGAUGGAUAAUAUUCAGAUUCUCUGUUAUUGGAUUCGACAUGUUACAUUUCUUAUUUUACAUGGGGUGUGUUUUCAUUGUAGCUCGAAGAAGGUGAAAAAGAUAUGAUUAGGGGCCAAGAGUUCAAGUAUUGUAUGCAUAAGUUAUCUUUGGGGGAGAGCCUUGAGGGUAUCAAGGGUACACUUAAUUAUUAAGUAUUCAGGUGGCAAUGUUGCUUGUAGAAUAAGUUCAUAUGAAGCCAUGGAUUUCUUCUCCACUGGAGAAAGAAGAAAACAGGUAACACAGAAGUCGUACUUCAUUUCCCAGUCAUCUCUUGGUUGUCUCCCCUUGCAUGUAGUGCAAUGUUCUCUGCACACCAGGUUCAGGCUGUCCAGGGUGUCUGACAUUACGGCUUAGGUUCUGUCUUCAGCCGACGUGGAAAUUAUCCGUACGAUUACGAGAAUGUUUCUGACUUGUUCAAUAGUUACCGCAAUGUGCUUGAACGAAACUGAGGUUAGCCUAAUCAUAAUCGGGACACCAAUAUUUUUGAAUUUCAGUAUGAGAAAGCAAACAUCUGCAUUUCAUCUUGUUACAGAUGAAAAUGGAGGUAUUAUUGCUCUAUCACUAUUUAGACGGAGAGAGUUUUACUUGGAAAGCAAGUUGCUUGAAUGUGUUGUUUUUGUUGUGGAGGGAAAAAACAUUACAACAGCAUACAAUUUCUGAGCAACUGGAACUUGCUUUGGAUGAUUGUUAGUCCGUUUUAUCAACCAACUCCCCUGUUUCCAUCUCUCCCCUUCAUAGCUUCUAAAACUUUAUAUACCGUAUUACUCCGACUAUAACGUGUAUACGGUCACGCUCCAUACGGUUCUGACCCCGACCCGUAAUCAGAUCCUUGAAUCAAACCCUUGAGAUUUUCUU
Long non-coding RNA from Pyrus x bretschneideri (Chinese white pear), 1132 nucleotides. RefSeq lists it as uncharacterized. The transcript has 2 exons. The record is from RefSeq and is a predicted model, not a curated record. Lineage: Eukaryota; Viridiplantae; Streptophyta; Magnoliopsida; Rosales; Rosaceae.